AAUUUUAACACAUCCUCUUUAGGUGUUUUAUGCAAUUGAAAAAUCGUGUUGAUCCUGAAUACAAAGUGCAAGGUUUGGCAGUUUGUAGAUCUGAGCUGCUACAUUUAGUGACCCAACUUAACUGCUGCCAAUGCCACCUAUGCAUCUUCCUGUGAUUUUCAAGGAUGCCUUGAUAUUUAAGCAAUUAGCUUCUCAUACCUGUCCUCCUCCUUACCUCAAAUUACUCAGAACCUUACAAUAUGACAUUAU
This is a non-coding RNA of Pelobates cultripes (western spadefoot toad), 249 nucleotides long. Lineage: Eukaryota; Metazoa; Chordata; Amphibia; Anura; Pelobatidae. The record is from the annotation of a GenBank genome assembly.